GCCAUUGUGGUUCAGUGGUUGAGCAUCCGCCUAUAAACCAGGAUGUCAGGAUUCAACUCCCUGUCAGGGCA
This is a non-coding RNA of Myotis davidii, 71 nucleotides long. The record is from Rfam. NCBI's taxonomy places the organism in Eukaryota, Metazoa, Chordata, Mammalia, Chiroptera, Vespertilionidae.